This 253-nucleotide ribosomal RNA is filed under the name uncultured bacterium. Its description in RNAcentral is "partial 16S ribosomal RNA". It matches the Rfam family "Bacterial small subunit ribosomal RNA", at positions 524 to 776 of the family's 1533-position model. The record is from RNAcentral.
UACGUAGGGGGCAAGCGUUGUCCGGAUUUAUUGGGCGUAAAGAGCGUGUAGGCGGCCAGGUAGGUCAGCUGUGAAAACUCGAGGCUCAACCUCGAGACGCCGGUUGAAACCAUCUGGCUAGAGUCCGGCAGAGGAGAGUGGAAUUCCUGGUGUAGCGGUGAAAUGCGCAGAUAUCAGGAAGAACACCCGUGGCUAAGGCGGCUCUCUAGUACGGUACUGACGCUGAGACGCGAAAGCGUGGGGAGCGAACAGG